Molecule: ribosomal RNA, 776 nt
Filed under: uncultured bacterium
Lineage: Bacteria
Description: bacterial SSU rRNA
Rfam family: Bacterial small subunit ribosomal RNA
Source: RNAcentral
CGGCGUGCCUACACAUGCAAGUCGAGCGAGAAGAGAGGCGAGAGAACAGAGGCUUGAAGCUUUUGUUUAUUGGUUUCAGGUUUUUGUUCUCUUGCUUCUCGGAAAGCGGCGAACGGGUGAGUAACACGUGGGUGAUCUACCUGAAAGUCUGGGAUAACAGUUCGAAAGGGCUACUAAUACCGGAUGAAGUUACUGGUGUAGAGCUAGUAAUCAAAGCGUUACGGAGCGCUUUCAGAUGAGCCCGCGUCCCAUUAGCUAGUUGGUGAGGUAAAGGCUCACCAAGGCGACGAUGGGUAGCCGGUCUGAGAGGAUGGUCGGCCACACUGGAACUGAGACACGGUCCAGACUCCUACGGGAGGCAGCAGUGGGGAAUUUUGCGCAAUGGGGGCAACCCUGACGCAGCGACGCCGCGUGAGCGAAGAAGGCCUUCGGGUUGUAAAGCUCUGUCUGGGGGGAAGAUAGUGACGGUACCCCCGGAGGAAGCCCCGGCUAACUACGUGCCAGCAGCCGCGGUAAGACGUAGGGGGCGAGCGUUGUCCGGAAUUACUGGGCGUAAAGGGCGUGUAGGCGGCCAUGCAAGUCAGCUGUGAAACCCCCGGGCUCAACCCGGGACGUGCAGUUGAAACUGUAUGGCUUGAGUGCAGGAGAGGAGAGUGGAAUUCCUAGUGUAGCGGUGACAUGCGUAGAUAUUAGGAGGAACACCAGUGGCGAAGGCGGCUCUCUGGACUGUAACUGACGCUGAGGCGCGAAAGCGUGGGGAGCAACAGGAUUAGAUA